GAAGUUAAAGGACGGAACAGGCAGCCGUCACCCCUCGCAAGAGGUUAGGAGAUGUGGGAAUUGUCACCCCACUUAAUUUC
This 80-nucleotide non-coding RNA is filed under the name unclassified sequences. The record is from Rfam.